UGGAAAGUUCAUUGUUCGACACCAUGGAUCCCCAGGUGGGUCACGUUUCAAGAUACACCAACCUGGAGGACUCCAUGCUGUUGAGCUGUUCACAA
Molecule: microRNA precursor, 95 nt
Organism: Sus scrofa (pig)
Lineage: Eukaryota; Metazoa; Chordata; Mammalia; Artiodactyla; Suidae
Rfam family: mir-490 microRNA precursor family
Source: Rfam